GAACUAUUACUAAUUACUUUUUAUACGCAAAGAGGUGGUGUUUCAGAUAGGAAAAAGAAAAAUUUAAUAGUUAAAGUAUAUUUUAAUAAAUAAUUAAAGAUAGUUAAAAUAAGAAAAACUCUUCACACCUAAUAACUUUUUACUCUUUCGCUCAACAACAAAGAAACAAACAAACAAAAACAUGUGUAACAAAAACCCCUUGUUAAACCCACAGAAAAUAGAGAGUGCAGUGUGUGUGUGAAAGGUGAGUUGGAGUUAGAAAAUCCUCAUUAAUCCAAAGUUUCUCACUCACAACAAUUAGGUUUUAUGUCAUCAGGGCCAUGGCAUUGCUCCUGCAUUUUCUCCCAAUCUCUUUUUUUCUUCCUUUAAGGCAGAAUAGAGAAGUAGGAUUAAAUCUUGCUUCAGAAGUUUUGAGGUGUUCAGCUGCAAAACCUGGUUGAAUUUGCUGGUCCUUUUGCUUUCCUGGAACAUGUGAACCUUGAACAUGUAAGUACAUUGUACUUAAGUGGGGAAUGAAGCCAUCGGUCCGCAAAGCAUAUCAAUCUUUGUAAUAUGUUGACAAAACCUGUUGUGGGGAUACAUUUAGAAGAAGAUUUAUUCCAUUUUAUUUUUUUUGUGAAUUUUGAUCUAUCUUUUCAAAUUCGAUUGAGAAUCAGUGCUCAAUUAGCUUUCCGGUAUGUGAUCAAUGCAAAAGCAUAGUUUGGUAUUUUA
Long non-coding RNA from Capsicum annuum, 711 nucleotides. RefSeq lists it as uncharacterized. The record is from RefSeq and is a predicted model, not a curated record. The transcript is spliced from 2 exons. Lineage: Eukaryota; Viridiplantae; Streptophyta; Magnoliopsida; Solanales; Solanaceae.